Molecule: ribosomal RNA, 660 nt
Filed under: Escherichia coli
Lineage: Bacteria; Pseudomonadati; Pseudomonadota; Gammaproteobacteria; Enterobacterales; Enterobacteriaceae
Also listed under: 1 other name
Description: partial 16S ribosomal RNA
Rfam family: Bacterial small subunit ribosomal RNA
Source: RNAcentral
AACUGCCUGAUGGAGGGGGAUAACUACUGGAAACGGUAGCUAAUACCGCAUAACGUCGCAAGACCAAAGAGGGGGACCUUCGGGCCUCUUGCCAUCGGAUGUGCCCAGAUGGGAUUAGCUAGUAGGUGGGGUAACGGCUCACCUAGGCGACGAUCCCUAGCUGGUCUGAGAGGAUGACCAGCCACACUGGAACUGAGACACGGUCCAGACUCCUACGGGAGGCAGCAGUGGGGAAUAUUGCACAAUGGGCGCAAGCCUGAUGCAGCCAUGCCGCGUGUAUGAAGAAGGCCUUCGGGUUGUAAAGUACUUUCAGCGGGGAGGAAGGGAGUAAAGUUAAUACCUUUGCUCAUUGACGUUACCCGCAGAAGAAGCACCGGCUAACUCCGUGCCAGCAGCCGCGGUAAUACGGAGGGUGCAAGCGUUAAUCGGAAUUACUGGGCGUAAAGCGCACGCAGGCGGUUUGUUAAGUCAGAUGUGAAAUCCCCGGGCUCAACCUGGGAACUGCAUCUGAUACUGGCAAGCUUGAGUCUCGUAGAGGGGGGUAGAAUUCCAGGUGUAGCGGUGAAAUGCGUAGAGAUCUGGAGGAAUACCGGUGGCGAAGGCGGCCCCCUGGACGAAGACUGACGCUCAGGUGCGAAAGCGUGGGGAGCAAACAGGAUU